Molecule: unclassified non-coding RNA, 21 nt
Filed under: Mus musculus (house mouse)
Lineage: Eukaryota; Metazoa; Chordata; Mammalia; Rodentia; Muridae
Description: oocyte_clustered_small_RNA10295
Source: RNAcentral
UCUCUCGGCUGGUAGUCUUGG